RNAcentral lists this long non-coding RNA (2853 nucleotides) under Portunus trituberculatus (swimming crab). Its description in RNAcentral is "uncharacterized LOC123511669". The record is from RNAcentral. Lineage: Eukaryota; Metazoa; Arthropoda; Malacostraca; Decapoda; Portunidae.
UGUGUGUGUUCGUCGUCGUUGGGUGUGAAGUUUGUUUAAUUCCGCAUUCUUUUUGUGUUGCUACGCCCUGCCAUUGGCUGCCAGUGAUGAUAUUUUACUCAAACUUUUCCUGGUGGGUGGUGAGGAAGGCGUGGGUGCUGCCAAGUGCCUUGGACUCCCGGGCCAACAAACAAACUACCGGAGCACCGCGCCGUGACCUGCAGGGUGAUCUGGACUUUUGGAGGUGAACAGAAGCACACACGCCUGCUGAUACACCUGUGGCAAGUGCAAGACAGUGUGGUGAGGAUGGAGGAUGCUGUGAACAUUCCCACCAUCAUUGCUUCAAGAUUUCUCUUUAGAAGGAGCUUUUGGACAUCCAGCAGGACACACGCCUGCUAAGACACCUGUGGCAAGUGCAAGACAGAGUACAGAGUGUGGCGAGGAUGGAGGAUGCUGUAAACAUUCCCACCAUCAUUGUUUCAAGAUUUCUUUGUGUUUUGUGAAGGUGUAGGAAGUACACAGAGUUUCAGCCACAGUAUUUCAUGACCUGGCAGUGUGUUCAGUGUUCACCUCUGUCAACAUUAACAAGCAAAGUACUUUGCAUAGAUAGAGGAGAUCCACCCAAUAGGUACAUUACAAUAGACAACAAGACCCUGGUAGGUUCAGAGUAUGAGAAAGAUUUAUGAGUUGUAGUUAGCUCUGAUCCUGAUCUAAGAAAGCAAUGCAUAGAGACUAGAAACAAUGUAAAUAGGAUACUAUGGUCUGACAAUUUUAUGAAGAUGGUUUAGGUGUUGAGUUUUCGGAGAUUUCCCGACCUGCGGCGGUGUCACACCUGUACCAAUAUGCACCUCAAGUCAGGUACUUAAUACUUCAUAACUGAAUGGUGUUGUGGUACAUAUACAUUUUGAUGCUCUAAAAAGGCAAGUUAGAAUAAUUCUUGUUUAUUUUUAAAUAUAUUUUGCAUUGUUUUAGCAAACACAACAAUACUUGGCAACAUUUCCUCCGAGUGUUGUCACGACCCUCUGGGUGACCGAGUGAGGUCACAGGUAAAAGUGACCGUGUUAAUCCAUGGGUCAAUUCCUCUCCCACUACCAGCCAGGAUGAGAGAGAGAGAGAGAGAGAGAGAGAGAGAGAGAGAGAGAGCAGCUUGACUAACUGACAGGCAGAUUAUUUUUGCAAAUUUUAGUAAUUUAUAAGUAAGUAUAGAUCUCUGAUAGAAAUAUAUUUGCAUGAAAUGUAAAUUCUAUAUGUAGAGAGAGAGAGGUGGUGUGUGGGAAGCAAGGUUCUCAUUGACACAUAGGCUCUAAUCCCAUAAUUUGCCCAGCACAAGGUUUGGCAGCGCCGCAAGCCGGGAAAUCCUAAAAAAAGUCAACGUCUAACCAAUCUUCAUAAAAUGGUCAGACCAUAGGAUUAAUUUUUAGGAGUGUUAGAAGCAGAAGUCCUAAAGUGAUAUUAAGAUUAUAUUUGACGCUGGUCAGACUGCAUCUAGAUUAUGCGGUAUGGUUCUGGUCCCCACAUUAUAGGAAAGAUAUAGGUCUAUUGGAGUCAGUGCAAAGGAGAAUGUCUAAAAAGAUGCAAGGGAUGAGGGACAUUGUCUACUAAAUGAGAACUGAGAAUUCAAAUUUGCAUUCCUUAGGUUAAGAGGGGACCUGAUAGAAGUAUGGAAGUGGUAUAGGGGUUAUAAUAACAAAAGAGACAGGAGCAAAGUUCUUAGGAUCAGUAGCCAGGAUAGAACCAGAAAUAAUGGGUUGAAGCUUCAAAGAUUAAGGUUUAAGAAAGAAAUGGGAAGGAACUGGUUCUCACAGAGUGGUUGAUGAAUGGAACGGACUCAGUAAUCACGUUGUUCAUGCUGAGUCAAUAGGAAGCUUUAAAAGAAGGUUAGAUCAAUAUAUGGGUGGGGAUGUUGGGUGGAAUUAAGUAGCUUUGCUUGUACAGGGACUGCCAUAUGUAGGCCUGACAGCCUCUUGCAGCUUCCCCCAUUGUAUUAUGUUCUUACGUGUACAUCAAGUCGUUUAGUUUCAUGUACCCAUUCAUUUAGCUAGAAUGAGUAAUAGUUUAUGAAAUUUAUGAUAUAGAAAAUUUACUUAGAAGAGAUCUUGCCUUAUGAAGACUUGCUUGAAGUUCUUAACCUGGCCUUUGUUUAUCACCUUCAUCUAGUUGAGUCAGUCUCUGUCAGCCUGCUUACUACUUGAGCCAUCUCUCCCAGCACACUCACACAUCCACCUCAGUGUGUUCUCUUCAGUCUGUUCCAAGCCUUGCGCUCUGUGCUUACUGGUCCACACCACAAACAUGAAGCAUUGCACUUCCCACAGAUGGAGGGUCACAGUCAUCACUGCAAGGUCUUACUGCAGCUGUUGUGGCCAAAUGUAGUAGUUAUUCCUUUAUGUAAAUGACACUUAGGAAAGAAAUGUGUGUAAUUGUUUAUACAUACAUUUUUGAGUGAUUUAGGCUGAGAAUGUUUAAAUUGACAAUAUGUAUAGCCAAUCAUCUUCUCCAUUUUUUAGAACUGAGAGCAAUAUCUUGUUAGAAUCCAGAGUGAGGGUCUGUAUUUUGUGAUAUUGAAGAUGACCAUACAGUGCCACAGGGGAUUACAUGCUGCCUCCACACAAUUUUAACCUUGUGAAAUUAUUAAAAAUUGUACAAUGGUGAAAGUUGCUCUUAGAUAUUUAUAAUAAAAUAUUCCCCAAUUGCUUUACAUGAAAAAUUGUACUAAUUUGAAAAUGAUGAAAACUGUACUAAAUUAUGUAAGUUGAAAGUUGCCCCUAAAGUUUUGUGAUAAAAAUUGUGUAAGUUGAAAGAAUUUUGUGAUGAAAAUUGUACUAAGUUGAAAGUUGCCCCUAGACUUUUGUGAUGAAAAUUGUGAUGAAAGUUGUA